GUUUUCGUAGCUCAGCCGGGCGAACACCCGACUAUGGAACGGUAGAACUCGGGUUCGAGCCCUGGUGAAGGCA
This is a non-coding RNA of Henosepilachna vigintioctopunctata, 73 nucleotides long. The record is from the annotation of a GenBank genome assembly. NCBI's taxonomy places the organism in Eukaryota, Metazoa, Arthropoda, Insecta, Coleoptera, Coccinellidae.